UGGGGAAUAUUGCACAAUGGACGGAAGUCUGAUGCAGCAACGCCGCGUGCGGGAUGACGGCCUUCGGGUUGUAAACCGCUUUCAUCCAUGACGAAGCGCAAGUGACGGUAGUGGGAGAAGAAGCACCGGCUAACUACGUGCCAGCAGCCGCGGUGAUACGUAGGGUGCGAGCGUUGUCCGGAUUUAUUGGGCGUAAAGAGCUUGUAGGUGGUUUGUUGCGUCGGGAGUGAAAACCUAGGGCUUAACCCUGGGCCUGCUUCUGAUACGGGCAGACUUGAGGAAGGUAGGGGAGAUCGGAAUUCCUGGUGGAGCGGUGGAAUGCGCAGAUAUCAGGAGGAACACCGGUGGCGAAGGCGGAUCUCUGGACCUUUCCUGACGCUGAGAAGCGAAAGCGUGGGGAGCAAACAGG
Molecule: ribosomal RNA, 409 nt
Filed under: uncultured bacterium
Lineage: Bacteria
Description: bacterial SSU rRNA
Rfam family: Bacterial small subunit ribosomal RNA
Source: RNAcentral